This 725-nucleotide long non-coding RNA is filed under the name Struthio camelus australis. RNAcentral's name for it is "lncRNA (ENSSCUG00000000350.1)". Lineage: Eukaryota; Metazoa; Chordata; Aves; Struthioniformes; Struthionidae. The record is from RNAcentral.
AGGACAUGGUUGGCUGAGGAAGGCAGCAGAAUCACAGCAUGCGGUGGGGGCUUGCAGUUCAUGUCCUGAAGGAAAAUUUUGAGAGGAGCAGGGAGCUAACAACCAUGGCUCUGAAGUAAAAGUAAGAGACCAUCCUAGGGCCCAGAAGAUAAAGUUUGCUGCAACACAUAAAGUCACUGAAUGAACUGAAACUAAGCCUGAAAGCCAGGCACAAGGAACAGGGGGAAAGCAGAAGCCUGCAAAUGCUUUUUUCUUUUUUUUUUUUUCCACUUCAGUUGCAAUUUUUGGUUAGUGGAACUGAUUCUACAUUUGAACCAUGGUCUCGACCCUCAAACCACCUUUUGGUCUCUUCAUGUAACUCAGCCUACUAAGCAGAAUAUUUGGCCUGGAAGUGCCUUAUUUUCACAAACAUCUUGGAAGUCUUGUAUAUAUAUUGUAGACGCCUGUGACUUUCACCUGUUUUCUGCUUACAAAGAUUCCUGCUUCACACUGUAAAUAGCAAAGAAAGCAAACCGUGUUCUGCAUUGACUCCAGAUGGCGAAAAGGUUUUUCAGGAAGGAAACAGGAGGAGGAAGAAGAAAUCAACCCGCAAUCCUACAAUUUUUCAGGAAGAACAUAGGAGGAGGAAGAAUGAAUAAUUUCACAAGCCUAUGUGUCUGUUUUUUCAUCGCAAAUGUUUCCUACUACAUGAAGAAUCAGUCUCCCAUCCUGAAAGGCUUCUUAUC